AACGAACGCUGGCGGCAGGCCUAACACAUGCAAGUCGAGCGCGCCCUUCGGGGUGAUCGGCGGACGGGUGAGUAACGCGUGGGAACGUUCCCUUUUCUACGGAAUAGCUUCGGGAAACUGAGAGUAAUACCGUAUACGCCCUUUGGGGGAAGGAUUUAUCGGAAAAGGAUCUGCCCGCGUUGGAUUAGGUAGUUGUUGGGGUAAUGGCCUACCAAGCCGACGAUCCAUAGCUGGUUUGAGAGGAUGGUCAGCCACACUGAGACGGAGACACGGCCCAGACUCCUACGGGAGGCAGCAGUGGGGAAUCGUAGAACAUGGGGGGAACGAUGAACGAGCCAGGACGCGAGAGCGAUGAAGGCCGUAGGGUUGUAAAGCUCAUGCAGCUGGGAAGAUAAUGACGGUACCAGCAGAAGAAGCCACGGCUAACUCCGUG
Molecule: ribosomal RNA, 433 nt
Filed under: uncultured bacterium
Lineage: Bacteria
Description: partial 16S ribosomal RNA
Rfam family: Bacterial small subunit ribosomal RNA
Source: RNAcentral